Syngnathus acus (greater pipefish) is the source of this 117-nucleotide long non-coding RNA. RefSeq lists it as uncharacterized. Lineage: Eukaryota; Metazoa; Chordata; Actinopteri; Syngnathiformes; Syngnathidae. The transcript has 3 exons. The record is from RefSeq and is a predicted model, not a curated record.
UCUGAAGGCAAGAUAGCGCUUGCAGGUUACACACAUGCAAUUAAUGGACCACGAUUCACUGUUAGUAUAACAUAUCUACAUGAAUGUAUUAUCCAGAAAAUAUAACAGGUGUCAGAU